CCUACGGGAGGCUGCAGUGAGGAAUAUUGGUCAAUGGACGCAAGUCUGAACCAGCCAUGCCGCGUGCAGGAAGACGGCUCUAUGAGUUGUAAACUGCUUUUGUACGAGGGUAAACGCAGAUACGCGUAUCUGUCUGAAAGUAUCGUACGAAUAAGGAUCGGCUAACUCCGUGCCAGCAGCCGCGGUAAUACGGAGGAUUCAAGCGUUAUCCGGAUUUAUUGGGGUUAAAGGGUGCGCAGGCGGUCGGAUAAGGUGGUGGUGAAAUCCCGAGGCUCAAAUUCGGCAUUGCCUCUGAUACUGUUCGGCUUGAGAGUAGUUGCGGUAGGCGGAAUGUAUGGUGUAGCGGUGAAAUGCUUAGAGAUCAUACAGAACACCGAAUGCGAAGG
This 386-nucleotide ribosomal RNA is filed under the name uncultured bacterium. Its description in RNAcentral is "partial 16S ribosomal RNA". It matches the Rfam family "Bacterial small subunit ribosomal RNA", at positions 338 to 721 of the family's 1533-position model. The record is from RNAcentral.